GAGUUAUAGACGACUCGACGCACUAGCCUCUUCGUGACCCUGCCUAGCUGAAGUCUAAAGAAUAGACUAUAUGUCCCUACUGGGAAUUGGAACUCAAGGUCUCCACCAACUUCAAGCCACCACAUUUGUUGAAGAUAUGCAACAGUUUGAAACCUUGAUUCAUCCGUGGAAAUAUAAUUCCAAUAUCUCCGAUCAUCAAUACCAGUAAUCCUCAUUCCCUUCGAACAAAUUGCCAAGCAAAC
This 242-nucleotide unclassified non-coding RNA is filed under the name Hevea brasiliensis (rubber tree). Lineage: Eukaryota; Viridiplantae; Streptophyta; Magnoliopsida; Malpighiales; Euphorbiaceae. The record is from RNAcentral.